This is a long non-coding RNA of Hippocampus comes (tiger tail seahorse), 175 nucleotides long. RefSeq lists it as uncharacterized. Lineage: Eukaryota; Metazoa; Chordata; Actinopteri; Syngnathiformes; Syngnathidae. The transcript is spliced from 2 exons. The record is from RefSeq and is a predicted model, not a curated record.
CCCACCUGUGCCCGACCGACUUGCCUGCUGAGGUUUUCGUGGUCGCGGAUGCAAAAGCACAAAGUGUCAAAAAUGCCGUCCGGGUUGAAGGGGGGGAAAAUUUCCCAUGAAACACCGGACAUGCGACGGUUUCGGAUCCAAUAGAGGCGGCACUCGGCUCCUUCAAACAAAAAAA